Molecule: unclassified non-coding RNA, 369 nt
Filed under: soil metagenome
Description: partial contains 5.8S ribosomal RNA, internal transcribed spacer 2, and large subunit ribosomal RNA
Rfam family: 5.8S ribosomal RNA (bases 1-120)
Source: RNAcentral
GAUGAAGAACGUAGUGAAAUGCGAUAAGUAAUGUGAAUUGCAGAAUUCAGUGAAUCAUCGAAUCUUUGAACGCACAUUGCGCCCGCCAGUAUUCUGGCGGGCAUGCCUGUUCGAGCGUCAUUUCAACCCUCAAGCCCUGCUUGGUGUUGGGGAUCGGCGUUGCCUCCUCCGUCGUUCGCGGCGGGGUGAGGUCGCCGCCCCCGAAAUGAAUUGGCGGUCUCGUCGCAGCUUUCCUUUGCGUAGUAACAUACCACCUCGCAACCAGGAGCGCGGCGCGGCCACUGCCGUAAAACGCCCAACUUUUUCAAGAGUUGACCUCGAAUCAGGUAGGAAUACCCGCUGAACUUAAGCAUAUCAAUAAGCGGAGGA